UGGGGAAUUUUGGACAAUGGGCGCAAGCCUGAUCCAGCCAUGCCGCGUGCGGGAAGAAGGCCUUCGGGUUGUAAACCGCUUUUGUCAGGGAAGAAACGCUCUGGGCUAAUACCCUGGGGUAAUGACGGUACCUGAAGAAUAAGCACCGGCUAACUACGUGCCAGCAGCCGCGGUAAUACGUAGGGUGCAAGCGUUAAUCGGAAUUACUGGGCGUAAAGCGUGCGCAGGCGGUUAUGCAAGACAGAUGUGAAAUCCCCGGGCUCAACCUGGGAACUGCAUUUGUGACUGUAUAGCUAGAGUACGGUAGAGGGGGAUGGAAUUCCGCGUGUAGCAGUGAAAUGCGUAGAUAUGCGGAGGAACACCGAUGGCGAAGGCAAUCCCCUGGACCUGUACUGACGCUCAUGCACGAAAGCGUGGGGAGCAAACAGGAUUAGAUACCCAGGUAGUCCCUGAG
This 454-nucleotide ribosomal RNA is filed under the name uncultured bacterium. RNAcentral describes it as "bacterial SSU rRNA". It matches the Rfam family "Bacterial small subunit ribosomal RNA", at positions 355 to 801 of the family's 1533-position model. The record is from RNAcentral.